ACGAACGCUGGCGGCGUGCUUAACACAUGCAAGUCGAACGGAAAGGCCCUGCUUUUGUGGGGUGCUCGAGUGGCGAACGGGUGAGUAACACGUGAGUAACCUGCCCUUGACUUUGGGAUAACUUCAGGAAACUGGGGCUAAUACCGGAUAGGAGCUCCUGCUGCAUGGUGGGGGUUGGAAAGUUUCGGCGGUUGGGGAUGGACUCGCGGCUUAUCAGCUUGUUGGUGGGGUAGUGGCUUACCAAGGCUUUGACGGGUAGCCGGCCUGAGAGGGUGACCGGCCACAUUGGGACUGAGAUACGGCCCAGACUCCUACGGGAGGCAGCAGUGGGGAAUAUUGCACAAUGGGCGGAAGCCUGAUGCAGCAACGCCGCGUGCGGGAUGACGGCCUUCGGGUUGUAAACCGCUUUCGCCUGUGACGAAGCGUGAGUGACGGUAAUGGGUAAAGAAGUACCGGCUAACUACGUG
Molecule: ribosomal RNA, 467 nt
Filed under: uncultured bacterium
Lineage: Bacteria
Description: partial 16S ribosomal RNA
Rfam family: Bacterial small subunit ribosomal RNA
Source: RNAcentral